This is a long non-coding RNA of Carya illinoinensis, 1072 nucleotides long. RefSeq lists it as uncharacterized. The transcript is spliced from 4 exons. Lineage: Eukaryota; Viridiplantae; Streptophyta; Magnoliopsida; Fagales; Juglandaceae. The record is from RefSeq and is a predicted model, not a curated record.
GGACAAUUUGAGGGUUCAAAUUCAUAUUCCCGGUGAUGGUGCUCUUUUGCGGAUGCCAUAUUAUAGGAGUUGGGGAGCCAAUAUUGUAUACAAGCAAGAAAGCAGAGGACAUAAAAGAAGAAAAAUGGAUUGAAUUAAAUGAUAGGCCAAGUGGCCUAUAGCUACUAUUUCUUUGGAAUUUUAGGUGAGAUUUUCCUUUCAUUUUUGUUUGUGGUCUCUGGUCUUUAAGACUUGAUUUUCUAUGGAAAGAACAAGAAACUAAGAAGUUUGGUAAAUCUUGUAGUUGUAGCAGGAUUUUUUAGUCCAUCCAAAUCAAAGGACAGAGAAGAAAGUGAACACAGGGUGUUUGAUGAAAUGCCUCAGUUAACUUGAGAGCACCAAGAGUCUACUGCUUCUAUUUAUAAUGUGCAUUACAUCAAUAUAAGAGACAUUGUGCCAUUGGAGACUUGUGUCUAUAGAAUCUUUAGCAAAUGGAGAUGCGUUAGCCACCAUUGUGGCUAUUGCCGUGGGAGAUGGGUCUUCAUUUGAAAUGCCACCAACUGAAAAAGGAACAAAAAUGCAUCUUGUUUCCUAGCUCAAGAAAUUAAACCAGAGAUGGAUUUCUGGUCACUCUUUGAGGUGGCGUCCAUGCCAAUCUUGCAAGUCCUCUUGAUCUGCAUAUUGGGAGCAUUCUUAGCAACUGUGUACGUAAAUCUUCUCCCUUCAGAUGCUCGGAAAUCCUUGAACAAGAUCGUCUGCAUGGUGUUCACUCCUUCACUCGUAUUUGGGAGUCUGUCCAACACUGUAAUGCACAAAGACAUCAUUUCAUGGUGCAUAUAUAUAACAGUGGCCUCAUCUAAAAUCAAUUCUGAAGCAUAAUAUGCUGGUGCCAAAGGGGCUACAAAGGAAGAAAAUAGUGAGGAAAAAGAGUUUCCUAAAGGUGCAUUACAAUGUCGUUUUCUUACAAACGAAUUUGCCUUUAAGAUACUAUGAGGUCCUGAGCUAAUAUUUUUUGUCUGUUUGUGUUAUGCAUGUACAAAUGAAAUUUCAUGAUUCACCACAUAUAACAACAUUGCAAUUUUAUCUAUAAAUA